GAUGAACGCUAGCGGCAGGCCUAAUACAUGCAAGUCGGACGGGAUCCAUUGAUAGCUUGCUAUCAAUGGUGAGAGUGGCGCACGGGUGCGUAACGCGUGAGCAGCCUGCCUCCAUCAGGGGGAUAGCCUCUCGAAAGAGAGAUUAACACCGCAUAAUAUCAACAGUUCGCAUGUUCAGUUGAUUAAAUAUUUAUAGGAUGGAGAUGGGCUCGCGUGACAUUAGCUAGUUGGUAGGGUAACGGCUUACCAAGGCGACGAUGUCUAGGGGCUCUGAGAGGAGAAUCCCCCACACUGGUACUGAGACACGGACCAGACUCCUACGGGAGGCAGCAGUAAGGAAUAUUGGUCAAUGGGCGGAAGCCUGAACCAGCCAUGCCGCGUGCAGGAUGACUGCCCUAUGGGUUGUAAACUGCUUUUGUCCAGGAAUAAACCUAAAUACGAGUAUUUAGCUGAAUGUACUGGAAGAAUAAGGAUCGGCUAACUCCGUG
This 488-nucleotide ribosomal RNA is filed under the name uncultured bacterium. RNAcentral's name for it is "partial 16S ribosomal RNA". It matches the Rfam family "Bacterial small subunit ribosomal RNA", at positions 28 to 507 of the family's 1533-position model. The record is from RNAcentral.